Molecule: ribosomal RNA, 1139 nt
Filed under: uncultured bacterium
Lineage: Bacteria
Description: bacterial SSU rRNA
Rfam family: Bacterial small subunit ribosomal RNA
Source: RNAcentral
CGGGUGAGUAACACGUACCUAACUUACCCCAAAGACUGGAAUAACUAUGUGAAAACGUAGCUAAUGCCGGAUAGGAUAUUGGAGGGAGUCCUCUGAUAUUUAAAGAUGCGUUUGCAUCACUUUGGGAUAGAGGUGCGGUCCAUUAGCUAGUUGGUAGGGUAAAGGCCUACCAAGGCAAUUAUGGAUAGCCGAACUGAGAGGUUGAACGGCCACACUGGAACUGAGAUACGGUCCAGACUCCUACGGGAGGCAGCAGUAGGGAAUCUUCCACAAUGGGCGAAAGCCUGAUGGAGCAAUUCCGCGUGAGGGAUGACGGUUUUCGGACUGUAAACCUCUGUUGUAAGGGAAGAACACUUAAAAUAGGAAAUGAUUUUAAGCUGACAUUACCUUACCAGAAAGUGACGGCUAACUACGUGCCAGCAGCCGCGGUAAUACGUAGGUCACAAGCGUUAUCCGGAUUUAUUGGGCGUAAAGGGUCCGCAGGUUGUUUAGCAAGUUCAAGGUUAAAGGCUAAAGCUCAACUUUAGUUCGCCUUGAAAACUGCUAGACUAGAGUAUGAGAGAGAGCAGUGGAAUUCCACAUGUAGCGGUGGAAUGCAUUGAUAUGUGGAGGAACACCAGUUGCGAAGGCGGCUGCUUGGCUCAUUACUGACACUCAGGGACGAAAGCGUGGGUAGCAAACAGGAUUAGAUACCCUGGUAGUCCACGCCGUAAACGAUCUAGAUUAGAUGCUGGAAUUAUUCAGUGUCGCAGCUAACGCAUUAAAUCUAGCGCCUGUGAAGUAUGCACGCAAGUGUAAAACACAAAGGAAUUGACGGGGACCCGCACAAGCGGUGGAGCAUGUGGUUUAAUUCGAUGAUACGCGAAGAACCUUACCUAGACUUGACAUCCUUGGCAAAGCUAUAGAAAUAUAGUGGAGGUAUUCCAAGUGACAGGUGGUGCAUGGUUGUCGUCAGCUCGUGUCGUGAGAUGUUCGGUUAAGUCCGGCAACGAGCGCAACCCUUGCCUUUAGUUACUAACAUUCAGUUGAGGACUCUAGAGGGACUGCCGGGAAACCGGGAGGAAGGUGGGGAUGACGUCAAAUCAUCAUGCCCCUUAUGUCUAGGGCCACACACGUGCUACAAUGGCCAGCACAAAGAG